Molecule: non-coding RNA, 45 nt
Filed under: Schistosoma curassoni
Lineage: Eukaryota; Metazoa; Platyhelminthes; Trematoda; Strigeidida; Schistosomatidae
Source: RNAcentral
AUGCAGCUGACGAGUUCCAAAUAGGACGAAACGUGCGUCCUGGAU